UGCAUCACAAAGGAAGUACAAA
Molecule: unclassified non-coding RNA, 22 nt
Filed under: Dictyostelium discoideum
Lineage: Eukaryota; Evosea; Eumycetozoa; Dictyosteliales; Dictyosteliaceae
Source: RNAcentral